UGAGGAAUAUUGGACAAUGGGCGAGAGCCUGAUCCAGCCAUGCCGCGUGCAGGAAGACGGCCCUAUGGGUUGUAAACUGCUUUUACAGAGGAAGAACCCUCCUUACGUGUAAGGAGCUGACGGUACUCUAUGAAUAAGGAUCGGCUAACUCCGUGCCAGCAGCCGCGGUAAUACGGAGGAUCCAAGCGUUAUCCGGAAUCAUUGGGUUUAAAGGGUCCGUAGGCGGGUCUAUAAGUCAGUGGUGAAAGUCUGCAGCUUAACUGUAGAACUGCCAUUGAUACUGUAGACCUUGAAUUAGUAUGAAGUGGUUAGAAUGUGUAGUGUAGCGGUGAAAUGCAUAGAUAUUACACAGAAUACCGAUUGCGAAGGCAGAUCACUAAUACUAUAUUGACGCUGAUGGACGAAAGCGUAGGUAGCGAACAGG
Molecule: ribosomal RNA, 424 nt
Filed under: uncultured bacterium
Lineage: Bacteria
Description: bacterial SSU rRNA
Rfam family: Bacterial small subunit ribosomal RNA
Source: RNAcentral